Molecule: ribosomal RNA, 492 nt
Filed under: uncultured bacterium
Lineage: Bacteria
Description: partial 16S ribosomal RNA
Rfam family: Bacterial small subunit ribosomal RNA
Source: RNAcentral
AGUGAACGCUGGCGGUAGGCCUAACACAUGCAAGUCGAACGGCAGCACAGUAAGAGCUUGCUCUUACGGGUGGCGAGUGGCGGACGGGUGAGGAAUAAAUCGGAAUCUACUUUUUCGUGGGGGAUAACGUAGGGAAACUUACGCUAAUACCGCAUACGACCUACGGGUGAAAGCAGGGGAUCUUCGGACCUUGCGCGAUUGAAUGAGCCGAUGUCGGAUUAGCUAGUUGGCGGGGUAAAGGCCCACCAAGGCGACGAUCCGUAGCUGGUCUGAGAGGAUGAUCAGCCACACUGGAACUGAGACACGUUCCAGACUCCUACGGAGGGCAGCAGUGGGGAAUAUUGGACAAUGGGCGCAAGCCUGAUCCAGCCAUACCGCGUGGGUGAAGAAGGCCUUCGGGUUGUAAAGCCCUUUUGUUGGGAAAGAAAAGCAGCAGGUUAAUACCCCGCUGUUCUGACGGUACCCAAAGAAUAAGCACCGGCUAACUUCGUG